RNAcentral lists this non-coding RNA (170 nucleotides) under unidentified. The record is from RNAcentral.
UACAUACUUCAUGACCAUGGAUGCGCGGAAGAGGGGUGCAAAGCCCCCGCUGCCCCGCAGCCGUAAAGGGAACGAACGUCCAGCGAAGUCACUGUCGCUCAGGCGCGAUGGGAAGACGGACUAGUAGGCAGCCCUGAGCCGGAAUACCGCUCCAUGGGAGUAACCUCGAG